This 460-nucleotide ribosomal RNA is filed under the name uncultured bacterium. RNAcentral describes it as "bacterial SSU rRNA". It matches the Rfam family "Bacterial small subunit ribosomal RNA", at positions 28 to 507 of the family's 1533-position model. The record is from RNAcentral.
GACGAACGCUGGCGGCGUGCCUAACACAUGCAAGUCGAACGGGGUCAGCCCUUCGGGACUGACUUAGUGGCGAACGGGUGAGUAACGCGUGAGGAACCUGCCUCUCAGUGGGGGACAACAGUUGGAAACGACUGCUAAUACCGCAUAACACUUUAGAAUCGCAUGAUACAGAAGUCAAAGAUUUAUUGGUGAAAGAUGGGCUCGCGUCCCAUUAGCUAGUUGGCAGGGUAACAGCCUACCAAGGCAACGAUGGGUAGCCGACCUGAGAGGGUGAUCGGCCACACUGGAACUGAGACACGGUCCAGACUCCUACGGGAGGCAGCAGUGGGGAAUAUUGGGCAAUGGGGCGAAAGCCUGACCCAGCAACGCGCGUGAAGGAAGAAGUCUUCGGAUUGUAAACUUUUAGUUGUCAGCGAAGAAAAGGACUGUAACUGACGAGAAAGCCCCGGCUAACUACGUG